CUGGUAUGCAACACUAAUUAUAAUCUAAUGGAUCUCUGACUUCAAAAAGAAAAGAAAAUGAAAAAAAAGAAAAAUGGAACACCAACUGGAGGGAAAUAAAUAUAUUGGGCUGGGAAAACCUAUUCCAAUUGCUAUCAAUGGGUCAGAAGAAAUAUACUUUUUGAAGAUACAAAACAAAACCACAUGCAUAUACUGAGAUACAUGUAGAGAUACAAAACCAAGCUACAAACAUAUUUCAUCAAAAACAAUAAAAAUGUGGCAUAUAUCUCUACCUUUCUUACUUUUUUCAGGAGUAG
This 296-nucleotide unclassified non-coding RNA is filed under the name Hevea brasiliensis (rubber tree). Lineage: Eukaryota; Viridiplantae; Streptophyta; Magnoliopsida; Malpighiales; Euphorbiaceae. The record is from RNAcentral.